UCCGAGUUGACCCCGGCAGUCUCCUAUGAGUCCCCGGCUUGAACCGCUGGCAACAUAGGACAAGGGUUGCGCUCGUUGCGGGACUUAACCCAACAUCUCACGACACGAGCUGACGACAGCCAUGCAACACCUGUGGAGCACCCUCGAAGGAGCCGGGUUUCCCCGGUCUGCAGCUCCAUGUCAAGUCUGGGUAAGGUUCUGCGCGUUGCGUCGAAUUAAACCACAUGCUCCACCGCUUGUGCGGGCCCCCGUCAAUUCCUUUGAGUUUCAGCCUUGCGGCCGUACUCCCCAGGCGGGGCACUUAAUGCGUUAGCGCCGGCACCCAGGGGGUCGCUCCCCCAGGCACCUAGUGCCCAUCGUUUACGGCGUGGACUAC
This 376-nucleotide unclassified non-coding RNA is filed under the name uncultured bacterium. Its description in RNAcentral is "contains 16S-23S intergenic spacer region". The record is from RNAcentral.